This is a long non-coding RNA of Sus scrofa (pig), 3602 nucleotides long. RefSeq annotates it as band 4.1-like protein 4A. NCBI's taxonomy places the organism in Eukaryota, Metazoa, Chordata, Mammalia, Artiodactyla, Suidae. The record is from RefSeq and is a predicted model, not a curated record.
GAAGGCGUGGGACUGCGAGCACCGAACGCCAGGGUCCGAGUAGAGCUGCGCCCUGCCUUCCAGCAAACCUCUGGGUCUACUCAGGAAACCGACACUGUGAGGUGGCCAGGGUCCCAGACGGCGAGAUGGCUCGGCCCCGGCGCCACGCGGGUUUUCAUGCGGACCUUCAGCACCUCGCUAUUUGACCACCUCCGCUCCGCCCUCCAUCCCCAGCCGAGACCCCGCCCAGAAGGGACGACCCCUUCCCGGCCACUGGGUCCCCGCUUCGCUCCGGGACCUUUUGCGGACGCCCGGGCCCGGUCCAGCUGCACCUGGGCUGCUCCCGCCCCGGGCGCCACCCCUAGCACCGCCUAGAGAACUUUCCCGGGAGCCGCCGCGGCCUGGCGCGCCCAGGGCACACCCCACCAGCCCGCCGGCCGCGUUCCCAGCCGGGGCGCCCGCCCCUUCGCCCUCAAGUCCCCCGACUGCCAGCUUCUCUGAAUCUCUCGCAGAAGCAGCACUCUGCCGCCGGGGCAAGGGGUUCUCGGAGGGAAAGCUUCAACUUGGCCACACACAGAAACCCGUGAUGAACUCGGGGAUCCUCAGACGGGAUCCGCGCCCCGCGACGAGCUGACCUCUGCUCCGCGGGUCGUGGGUUGCGGGAGGGGCCGCGGUGCCCCCGCCUUCGGAGGAGCCCGAGCCUCAGGAUGCGCGGGGACGCGCCGCCGCCCUCCGCGCCCAGUUCCGCCGGCGCUGCCCGGGCGGCUCCCGGGCGCUGACUCUCCCGGGCUUCUCCGUGCUCCUUACCUCCUGCUAGCGCCCGGCCGCGGGUCUUCGCCGCCCUGGACCCCGCCGGCAACCGGUCCUCUCGUCCUCGCCGCGGCGCGGACAAUAAAUUAAUGCCUCGCCUCUGAGGGGAGGGGGCGGCUCGCGCUGGGUCGCAGCUUUCUCACCCGGCCGAGGCCGGCCACAGCCGACAUGGGCUGUUUCUGCGCUGUUCCGGAAGAAUUUUACUGCGAAGUUUUGCUUCUGAAUGAAUCCAAGUUAACCCUCACCACUCAGCAGCAGGGCAUCAAGAAGUCAACGAAAGGUUCCGUUGUCCUUGAGCACGUAUUUCGUCACAUAAACCUUGUGGAGAUAGAUUAUUUUGGGCUGCGUUACUGUGACAGAAACCAUCAGACGUAUUGGCUGGAUCCUGCAAAAACCCUGGCUGAACACAAAGAAUUGAUCAACACUGGACCUCCAUAUACUUUGUAUUUUGGUGUUAAAUUCUAUGCUGAAGAUCCAUGUAAACUUAAAGAAGAAAUAACCAGAUAUCAGUUUUUCUUGCAGGUGAAGCAAGACGUCCUUCAGGGCCGGCUGCCCUGCCCCGUCAAUACUGCUGCUCAGCUGGGAGCGUAUGCCAUCCAGUCUGAACUUGGAGAUUAUGAUCCAUAUAAGCAUACUGCGGGAUAUGUGUCAGAGUACCGGUUUGUUCCUGAUCAGAAGGAAGAGCUUGAGGAAGCUAUAGAAAGGAUACAUAAGACUCUAAUGGGUCAGGCUCCUUCUGAAGCGGAACUGAAUUACUUGCGGACUGCCAAAUCCCUGGAGAUGUAUGGUGUUGACCUCCAUCCCGUCUAUGGAGAAAACAAAUCUGAGUAUUUCUUAGGAUUAACUCCGGUUGGUGUUGUUGUCUACAAGAAUAAAAAGCAAGUGGGGAAGUAUUUCUGGCCUCGGAUUACAAAGGUGCACUUCAAGGAGACACAGUUUGAGCUCAGAGUCCUGGGGAAAGAUUGCAAUGAAACCUCAUUCUUUUUUGAAGCUCGAAGUAAAACUGCUUGCAAGCAUCUUUGGAAGUGCAGUGUAGAACAUCAUACAUUUUUUAGAAUGCCAGAAAAUGAAUCAAAUUCGUUGUCAAGAAAACUCAGCAAGUUUGGAUCCAUAAGUUAUAAGCACCGGUAUAGUGGCAGGACAGCAUUGCAGAUGAGUCGAGAUCUUUCUAUUCAGCUUCCCCGGCCAGAUCAGAAUGUGGCAAGAAGUCGAAGCAAGACUUAUCCUAAGAGAAUAGCACAAACACAGCCAGCUGGAUCAAACAGCAUAAAUCGGGUAACUGCGAACAUGGAAAAUGGAGAAAAUGAAGGAACAACUAAAAUCAUUGCACCUUCCCCAGUAAAAAGCUUUAAGAAAGCAAAGAAUGAAAACAGCCCAGAUACUCAGAGAAGCAAAUCUCAUGCUCCGUGGGAAGAAAAUGGCCCCCAGAGCGGACUCUACAACUCUCCCCAUGACCGCACAAAGUCACCCAAGUUCCCCUACGCACGCCGUCGGAACCCUUCCUGUGGGAGCGACAAUGACUCUGUGCAGCCCACGAGGAGGAGGAAAGCCCAUAACAGUGGUGAAGACUCUGAUCUAAAGCAAAGGAGGAGGUCACGCUCACGAUGUAACACAAGCAGUGGCAGUGAAUCAGAAAAUUCUAAUAGAGAACACCGAAAAAAGAGAAACAGAAUACGGCAGGAGAAUGAUAUGGUUGAUUCAGCGCCUCAGUGGGAAGCUGUAUUAAGGAGACAAAAGGAAAAAAGCCAGGCUGACCCCAACAACAGACGAUCCAGACACAGAUCUCGCUCGAGAAGUCCUGAUAUCCAAGCAAAAGAAGAGUUAUGGAAGCAUAUUCAAAAGGAACUUGUGGAUCCAUCUGGAUUGUCAGAAGAACAAUUAAAAGAGAUUCCAUACACUAAAAUAGAGACUCAAGGUGACCCCAUCCGCAUCAGGCAUUCUCAUUCACCUCGAAGUUACCGCCAGUAUCGCAGGUCCCAGUGUUCAGAUGGAGAGCGAUCUGUUCUCUCGGAAGUGAAUUCAAAAACGGAUCUUGUACCUCCGCUUCCUGUGACCCGUUCUUCAGAUGCUCAGGGUUCUGGUGGCUCCACAGUUCAUCAGAGAAGAAGUGGGUCUAAAGAUAGCCUGAUUGAAGAAAAAUCUCAGACAUCUACAAGCAACCUGACUGGAAAACACACAGCAAAAACAAUAAAAACUAUCCAAGCUUCACGCCUCAAGAUAGAGACUUGAUCCCAGUGAAGGGUUUGGGGUGUGAGGUGGGAAGGGUAUGUGUGCCACUUUUACUUUGAAACUGUGAAUUAUUCAAAUAUUUUGGACGUGCAGAAGUGUUUCUUCAGAAGAAAAUAAUGGAGUCUAUUCCAUUUUUUAAAGGUUUAACUACAGCAUAUUUGUGCCUAAAGGGCUUUUUUAUUUGGUAACUGGAAGGAUAGUAGUCUUGUAAAAACAUAUCCACUUGAUGCCAUGUUUUCCUUCCUGGAAACUGAGUAUUUUGUGUCUGCCACAGCCAAGACCAGAUGCUUCUGAUCAAAGUUCUGGAAUCCUGGAUUGCAUCUGGCUAGCUGCGCAGCAGUACACCAAGUGGGAUGAAAAGGUUCUUCUCAACUCUGGGUGGAUCUCUGCCUGUGCACAGAUACAUGACUGAGGCAUCACUUUCACACUGCAGAUAUUUUUAUUCUUAUGUUCUUUGUAAUACUGUAAUUUGUGGCAUUAAGUUCCACUGACUUAAAAUGUUAAAAAAAGUUUUGUUAAGUGCUGCUUUAAAUUUCUAGUGUCCUUGUCUUGUGCUUUAAAAAAAAAAAAAAAAAAAAAAAAAA